CACACACCUAGAACAAAAAAAAUUGAAGAAAACUCUGGGAAAAAGAAGUGGCUGGUGGCAGUGGCAGGAAAAUUGUCAUAAAGGUGCAACUGACAACAGCAGAAGAGGCGAUGGCGAGGUUAGUAAAUUUCAAUUUAUAUGCAGAGAGAACAGUGAGUGAAAAGGCAGCAGCAGCAGGACACAGGACAUGGGGCACUACAGGAUGAGGAUGAGGACGAGGACAUAGGACACAGGACACACACAGGACGCAGAGUCAAGGAGCCAGCGCGCAAAAAGUGUCAACCAACGCAAGUGGAAAACGCAAUUUCAUUAGACAAAUUGAAAAAAAUAAGUGCAAGCGUACACAACAA
Molecule: long non-coding RNA, 350 nt
Organism: Drosophila yakuba
Lineage: Eukaryota; Metazoa; Arthropoda; Insecta; Diptera; Drosophilidae
Exons: 2
Source: RefSeq, a predicted model, not a curated record